This 75-nucleotide transfer RNA is filed under the name Vibrio phage vB_ValS_X1. RNAcentral describes it as "tRNA-Glu". It matches the Rfam family "tRNA". Rfam says of the family: Transfer RNA (tRNA) molecules are approximately 80 nucleotides in length. Their secondary structure includes four short double-helical elements and three loops (D, anti-codon, and T loops). Further hydrogen bonds mediate the characteristic L-shaped molecular structure. tRNAs have two regions of fundamental functional importance: the anti-codon, which is responsible for specific mRNA codon recognition, and the 3' end, to which the tRNAs corresponding amino acid is attached (by aminoacyl-tRNA synthetases). tRNAs cope with the degeneracy of the genetic code in two manners: having more than one tRNA (with a specific anti-codon) for a particular amino acid; and 'wobble' base-pairing, i.e. permitting non-standard base-pairing at the 3rd anti-codon position. The record is from RNAcentral. Lineage: Duplodnaviria; Heunggongvirae; Uroviricota; Caudoviricetes; Demerecviridae.
GCACUAGAAGGCGAAAGGCUAGCCGGCUCCCUUUCAAGGAGUUGUAAGCGGGUUCGAUACCCGUCUAGUGUUCCA